Molecule: transfer RNA, 69 nt
Filed under: Urocitellus parryii (Arctic ground squirrel)
Lineage: Eukaryota; Metazoa; Chordata; Mammalia; Rodentia; Sciuridae
Also listed under: 1 other name
Description: Spermophilus parryii (Arctic ground squirrel) tRNA
Rfam family: tRNA
About the family: Transfer RNA (tRNA) molecules are approximately 80 nucleotides in length. Their secondary structure includes four short double-helical elements and three loops (D, anti-codon, and T loops).
Source: Rfam by way of RNAcentral
GGGAUUGUGGCUCACUGGUAGAGCACUUGCCUAGCAUGUGUGAGGUACUGGGUUCAAUCCCCAGCACCA